This 159-nucleotide ribosomal RNA is filed under the name soil bacterium dns10. RNAcentral's name for it is "partial 16S ribosomal RNA". It matches the Rfam family "Bacterial small subunit ribosomal RNA", at positions 355 to 507 of the family's 1533-position model. Lineage: Bacteria; Bacillati; Bacillota; Bacilli; Caryophanales; Caryophanaceae. The record is from RNAcentral.
UAGGGAAUCUUCCGCAAUGGACGAAAGUCUGACGGAGCAACGCCGCGUGAGUGACGAAGGUUUUCGGAUCGUAAAACUCUGUUGUGAGGGAAGAACAAGUACCACUUAACUACUGGUACCUUGACGGUACCUCACCAGAAAGCCACGGCUAACUACGUG